AUGCUCGCUCCAGAUGUUCCUCACAGUGUUGACCGAUAUGUGAUGGAUAUACUUUAUGGCGCUGUCCUGUUUGACAUGGAUGGAAUGCUCAGCAUGCCCAUUCUUACUGAUGAAUUUACCAGCAUUGGUAUCUGGGCUAUGCAAGACUAUGAAAAUGAGGUCUGGACCUCAAAAUACCGGGUCGAAUUGCCACUUGCGGACCUCACCGUGCAGUUUGGAAAGUUUAACCCAUGUAUUCAUGGAGUGCCCGCUUUUUUGGAUGGUGACGUGAUCAUCCUGGUCCAGUUUGGUGAUUGGCUACUUCAGUUUGACAUGGAUGGCAAGUUGGUUGCCAAUUUGCGCAACUGCAGAGGCCUCUUUCCUACUCGACAUCAACUCAAGCAAACUCUUGUUCAGCAUACCUUCUUUCCGACACUAGAGGGUUAUGCUGUCAAUGCUUCACCUUUCAUCUGA
This 453-nucleotide ribosomal RNA is filed under the name Triticum aestivum (bread wheat). RNAcentral's name for it is "partial small subunit ribosomal RNA". The record is from RNAcentral. Lineage: Eukaryota; Viridiplantae; Streptophyta; Magnoliopsida; Poales; Poaceae.